GAUGAAGAACGCAGCGAAAUGCGAUAAGUAGUGUGAAUUGCAGAAUUCAGUGAAUCAUCGAAUCUUUGAACGCACAUUGCGCCCUUUGGUAUUCCUUAGGGCAUGCCUGUUCGAGCGUCAUUUAAACCUUCAAGCUAAGCUUGGUGUUGGGUGACUGUCCGCUUCACGGCGGGCUCGCCUCAAAAUUAUUGGCGGCCGGUACAUUGGCUUCGAGCGCAGCAGAAACGCGAACUCGGGCCCGUCGUAUUGGCUCCCAGAAGCUAUCUUCACAAUUUUGACCUCGGAUCAGGUAGGGAUACCCGCUGAACUUAAGCAUAUCAAUAAGCGGAGGA
Molecule: unclassified non-coding RNA, 332 nt
Filed under: soil metagenome
Description: partial contains 5.8S ribosomal RNA, internal transcribed spacer 2, and large subunit ribosomal RNA
Rfam family: 5.8S ribosomal RNA (bases 1-120)
Source: RNAcentral